UGUAUACAUCGCUAAAGUAUUUAGAGAAUACUUGAGCUUUGCCAAAGUCGUCCUCCACUAGUGAUGUGGCAGU
Molecule: transfer RNA, 73 nt
Filed under: Schistosoma mansoni
Lineage: Eukaryota; Metazoa; Platyhelminthes; Trematoda; Strigeidida; Schistosomatidae
Source: RNAcentral